CAUCAGGAAGGACUGGAGGAUGGAGAGGCUCAGAGGUCUCUGGCCUGGAGUAUCAGCUGGUGAGCCGUCUGUCGGGAAACUUGAGCAAGAGGUGACUGACCUGGAAUUGAAUAAAACGGAGAACACUGGACAACUGCAUAGGGUAGAAACGGAUAGAGACUGAGUGGGAGAGCCUACAGAGAUGAAAAAGAAGCCAGAAGUGAGAAGGAAGAACGAGCGAGGGGCACAAGCAGGCUAGGUGUGGUGGAGAGGUAGGUGGCGGACUGCUUGGAAGAGACUCCAGAUGUGCUGAUACGGAGAGGGAACUGGGCAGAGGGGG
This 319-nucleotide long non-coding RNA is filed under the name Fukomys damarensis (Damara mole-rat). RNAcentral's name for it is "lncRNA (ENSFDAG00000024840.1)". Lineage: Eukaryota; Metazoa; Chordata; Mammalia; Rodentia; Bathyergidae. The record is from RNAcentral.